This 628-nucleotide ribosomal RNA is filed under the name Escherichia coli. Its description in RNAcentral is "partial 23S ribosomal RNA". It matches the Rfam family "Bacterial large subunit ribosomal RNA", at positions 2171 to 2798 of the family's 2925-position model. The record is from RNAcentral. Lineage: Bacteria; Pseudomonadati; Pseudomonadota; Gammaproteobacteria; Enterobacterales; Enterobacteriaceae.
CCAGUCUGCAUGGAGCCGACCUUGAAAUACCACCCUUUAAUGUUUGAUGUUCUAACGUUGACCCGUAAUCCGGGUUGCGGACAGUGUCUGGUGGGUAGUUUGACUGGGGCGGUCUCCUCCUAAAGAGUAACGGAGGAGCACGAAGGUUGGCUAAUCCUGGUCGGACAUCAGGAGGUUAGUGCAAUGGCAUAAGCCAGCUUGACUGCGAGCGUGACGGCGCGAGCAGGUGCGAAAGCAGGUCAUAGUGAUCCGGUGGUUCUGAAUGGAAGGGCCAUCGCUCAACGGAUAAAAGGUACUCCGGGGAUAACAGGCUGAUACCGCCCAAGAGUUCAUAUCGACGGCGGUGUUUGGCACCUCGAUGUCGGCUCAUCACAUCCUGGGGCUGAAGUAGGUCCCAAGGGUAUGGCUGUUCGCCAUUUAAAGUGGUACGCGAGCUGGGUUUAGAACGUCGUGAGACAGUUCGGUCCCUAUCUGCCGUGGGCGCUGGAGAACUGAGGGGGGCUGCUCCUAGUACGAGAGGACCGGAGUGGACGCAUCACUGGUGUUCGGGUUGUCAUGCCAAUGGCACUGCCCGGUAGCUAAAUGCGGAAGAGAUAAGUGCUGAAAGCAUCUAAGCACGAAACUUGCC